This 971-nucleotide ribosomal RNA is filed under the name Psilocybe tampanensis. Its description in RNAcentral is "LSU rRNA". It matches the Rfam family "Eukaryotic large subunit ribosomal RNA", at positions 1 to 958 of the family's 3401-position model. Lineage: Eukaryota; Fungi; Basidiomycota; Agaricomycetes; Agaricales; Agrocybaceae. The record is from RNAcentral.
GACCUCAAAUCAGGUAGGACUACCCGCUGAACUUAAGCAUAUCAAUAAGCGGAGGAAAAGAAACUAACAAGGAUUCCCCUAGUAACUGCGAGUGAAGCGGGAAAAGCUCAAAUUUAAAAUCUGGCGGUCUUUGGCCGUCCGAGUUGUAAUCUAGAGAAGUGCUAUCCGCGCUGGACCGUGUACAAGUCUCCUGGAAUGGAGCGUCAUAGAGGGUGAGAAUCCCGUCUUUGACACGGACUACCAGGGCUUUGUGAUGUGCUCUCAAAGAGUCGAGUUGUUUGGGAAUGCAGCUCAAAAUGGGUGGUAAAUUCCAUCUAAAGCUAAAUAUUGGCGAGAGACCGAUAGCGAACAAGUACCGUGAGGGAAAGAUGAAAAGAACUUUGGAAAGAGAGUUAAACAGUACGUGAAAUUGCUGAAAGGGAAACGCUUGAAGUCAGUCGCGUUGGCCAGGGAUCAACCUUGCUUUUGCUGGGUGUACUUUCUGGUUGACGGGUCAGCAUCAAUUUUGAUCGUUGGAUAAAGUCUGUGGGAAUGUGGCUUCUUCGGAAGUGUUAUAGCCCAUGGUCGCAUACAACGGUUGGGAUUGAGGAACUCAGCACGCCGCAAGGCCGGGUACUUGUACCACGUUCGUGCUUAGGAUGCUGGCAUAAUGGCUUUAAUCGACCCGUCUUGAAACACGGACCAAGGAGUCUAACAUGCCUGCGAGUGUUUGGGUGGAAAACCCGAGCGCGUAAUGAAAGUGAAAGUUGAGAUCCCUGUCGUGGGGAGCAUCGACGCCCGGACCAGACCUUUUGUGACGGAUCCGCGGUAGAGCAUGUAUGUUGGGACCCGAAAGAUGGUGAACUAUGCCUGAAUAGGGUGAAGCCAGAGGAAACUCUGGUGGAGGCUCGUAGCGAUUCUGACGUGCAAAUCGAUCGUCAAAUUUGGGUAUAGGGGCGAAAGACUAAUCGAACCAUCUAGUAGCUGGUUCC